This 211-nucleotide unclassified non-coding RNA is filed under the name Hevea brasiliensis (rubber tree). The record is from RNAcentral. Lineage: Eukaryota; Viridiplantae; Streptophyta; Magnoliopsida; Malpighiales; Euphorbiaceae.
GCCACCAAUGGAAAGAUGAACGAGACCACCGAGUACCGUUCGCCGCGAGAUUCCGAUGGCCACGGUACACACACAGCGUCCAUUGCUGCAGGUCGUUAUGUGUUUCCAGCUUCAACUUUAGGUUAUGCUCGUGGUAAAGCCGCCGGAAUGGCUCCUAAGGCCCGUCUUGCCGCCUAUAAAGUCUGCUGGAACGCCGGCUGCUACGACUCCG